UACGAAGGGGGCUGGCGUUGUUCGGAAUUACUGGGCGUAAAGCGCGCGCAGGCGGUCUUCCAAGUCAGUGGUGAAAGCCCGGAGCUCAACUCCGGAACUGCCAUUGAAACUGUAAGACUUGAGGAUGAGAGAGGUGAGUGGAAUUCCCAGUGUAGAGGUGAAAUUCGUAGAUAUUGGGAAGAACACCGGUGGCGAAGGCGGCUCACUGGCUCAUUACUGACGCUCAGGCGCGACAGCGUGGGGAUCAAACAGG
This 253-nucleotide ribosomal RNA is filed under the name uncultured bacterium. Its description in RNAcentral is "partial 16S ribosomal RNA". It matches the Rfam family "Bacterial small subunit ribosomal RNA", at positions 524 to 776 of the family's 1533-position model. The record is from RNAcentral.